AUUUUUCCCACAGUAGGCAGGGCCCUUCCGGCAGCUCAAUGAUCACGGCACGGUGGAAGUAGAACAGGUAAACUCCCAGAUCUCAGAAGUACAGCCACCAAUGUAUACAACGUAUUCAGUAUAAGUUUUGCACUUUCAUCAUUAUCAUAAACUUGUCUGAUGUAUAGAUUCUAAUAAUUAUGUUUAGCUCUGUUUUUGCUUAGAAGUGCAUAAAAUAGGUAAAAAACAAUCUAAAAAUAUGUAGUGUAAGAAACGCAUAAAAUAGGAAGAAAAAAAAGAAAUAAAUGAAAUAAUCUAAAGAGUAAUAAAACAUAAAGAGACACAUAAAAUAGGAAGAAAAAAAGCUUAAGAUUUGAAAAAGAAAUAAAAAAAAGAAUCUAAUGAUGUAGUAAAACAAAAAGAAACACAUAAAAUAGUUAUAUAAAGACAGAGCAAAAAGAUGCAUAAAUACAAAGCAAAAAGAUACACAUAAAAUAGGUACAGAAACACAUAAAGAGAGAGAAGAAAUAAAAUGAUGUAAGAUGCUAUUAUAAACCAAAGUAUAGAUACAGAAAGUCAAAAAGAUGCAGAAAUUGAUGCAAGCUUUUAUGAAGAAAUGAAAAAACGAAAGCUAGAAGCUUAGAGAAAAGAAAUUGUAGACAUUCAAGCAAGAAUUUGCCAACAUUAAAGAUAGAAAAGAAGCUUCUUGAAUCUGCUGACAAAAAAUAGAACGUGCAGAUACUGAAUCAAGAAGUUGCCAAAGAAAAGAAGAGGAGC
Molecule: long non-coding RNA, 756 nt
Filed under: Salvia miltiorrhiza (redroot sage)
Lineage: Eukaryota; Viridiplantae; Streptophyta; Magnoliopsida; Lamiales; Lamiaceae
Description: long non-coding RNA (SMIL_LNC013038)
Source: RNAcentral